AAUCUUGUUAAAAAGUGUAGCUGAGACCACAAAUCUGAUAGAUAUUUUUUCCUAUAAAUAAAAGUAAGAUUCAUAAAAAUUCAUAACCAUAAUAUAUGAUUUCAAGCAGUAUUCCGAAAUUUUUAGAUUUAAAGGUAAAAUACAAAAUGGAAGUCUUACAAAAAUACAUGUAAAAGAAAAAAAAAAGUGGAAAAAUGAAAGAUUG
This 205-nucleotide long non-coding RNA is filed under the name Lathyrus oleraceus (garden pea). RNAcentral's name for it is "Pisum sativum (pea) long non-coding RNA (PSAT_LNC030713)". Lineage: Eukaryota; Viridiplantae; Streptophyta; Magnoliopsida; Fabales; Fabaceae. The record is from RNAcentral.